Molecule: long non-coding RNA, 438 nt
Organism: Psammomys obesus (fat sand rat)
Lineage: Eukaryota; Metazoa; Chordata; Mammalia; Rodentia; Muridae
Exons: 3
Source: RefSeq, a predicted model, not a curated record
UGUUAGAAACGGCAGCAAACACAGGCGGCCAGAAGGCGUCAGCGCAGAGCAGUGCCUGGCGCAGAGGCGGGGUUUCCUUUUCCUCCGCAGGUACUAUACUAGACCUUCCGCACAACACGCUUCUUUUUCUUUUCUUUUUCAAUAAAGAAAAAGUUACUCGGUUGAACUAUGGUUGAUGGCAGAAGCUGAAGCUCAUUACCUUGUUGUCAUGAGACAUCCAAUGAAAGCAGGUGAGCACAGAAUGUUUCUUCUGGACCCUAGCACACACUCCACAUAGUGGCCAAGAAUAAGUGUCUGCACUGCAGUGAAGUCCUGCUCUACCUGAGGCUUAGGAACUUUGUGCUUGAAAGCAGCUGAAGACAUUGGAGCAAAUUAUUAGGUGCCAGCGGUGUCAGCAGCAGGUAAGCACAUAGCUUUGUAUCUGAGACAAGACCUUGC